GUUUGANCAUGGCUCAGGACGAACGCUGGCGGCGUGCUUAACACAUGCAAGUCGAACGAUGAACCCCUUCGGUGGGGAUUAGUGGCGAACGGGUGAGUAACACGUGGGCAAUCUGCCCUGCACUCUGGGACAAGCCCUGGAAACGGGGUCUAAUACCGGAUACUGAUCGCCUUGGGCAUCCUUGGUGAUCGAAAGCUCCGGCGGUGCAGGAUGAGCCCGCGGCCUAUCAGCUUGUUGGUGAGGUAAUGGCUCACCAAGGCGACGACGGGUAGCCGGCCUGAGAGGGCGACCGGCCACACUGGGACUGAGACACGGCCCAGACUCCUACGGGAGGCAGCAGUGGGGAAUAUUGCACAAUGGGCGAAAGCCUGAUGCAGCGACGCCGCGUGAGGGAUGACGGCCUUCGGGUUGUAAACCUCUUUCAGCAG
RNAcentral lists this ribosomal RNA (428 nucleotides) under Streptomyces cellulosae. Its description in RNAcentral is "bacterial SSU rRNA". It matches the Rfam family "Bacterial small subunit ribosomal RNA", at positions 11 to 442 of the family's 1533-position model. Lineage: Bacteria; Bacillati; Actinomycetota; Actinomycetes; Kitasatosporales; Streptomycetaceae. The record is from RNAcentral.